RNAcentral lists this ribosomal RNA (1007 nucleotides) under uncultured bacterium. Its description in RNAcentral is "bacterial SSU rRNA". It matches the Rfam family "Bacterial small subunit ribosomal RNA", at positions 34 to 1036 of the family's 1533-position model. The record is from RNAcentral.
GGCCGUGCGGCAUGCUUAACAUGCAAGUCGAACGGCAGCGGGGGUGCUUGCACCUGCCGGCGAGUGGCGAACGGGUGAGUAAUGCAUCGGAACGCACCCAGUAGUGGGGGAUAACUUACCGAAAGGUAAGCUAAUACCGCAUACGCACUGAGGUGGAAAGCAGGGGACCUUCGGGCCUUGUGCUAUUGGAGCGGCCGAUGUCGGAUUAGCUAGUUGGUGAGGUAAAGGCUCACCAAGGCGACGAUCCGUAGCUGGUCUGAGAGGAUGAUCAGCCACACUGGAACUGAGACACGGUCCAGACUCCUACGGGAGGCAGCAGUGGGGAAUUUUGGACAAUGGGCGCAAGCCUGAUCCAGCCAUGCCGCGUGAGUGAAGAAGGCCUUCGGGUUGUAAAGCUCUUUCGGCCGGGAAGAGAUCGGUGAGGCUAAUAUCCUCACUGGAUGACGGUACCGGAAUAAGAAGCACCGGCUAACUACGUGCCAGCAGCCGCGGUAAUACGUAGGGUGCGAGCGUUAAUCGGAAUUACUGGGCGUAAAGCGUGCGCAGGCGGUUUUGUAAGACAGGCGUGAAAUCCCCGGGCUCAACCUGGGAACUGCGCUUGUGACUGCAAGGCUAGAGUACGGCAGAGGGGGGUGGAAUUCCACGUGUAGCAGUGAAAUGCGUAGAGAUGUGGAGGAACACCGAUGGCGAAGGCAGCCCCCUGGGCCGAUACUGACGCUCAUGCACGAAAGCGUGGGGAGCAAACAGGAUUAGAUACCCUGAUAGUCCACGCCCUAAACGAUGUCAACUAGGUGUUGGGUGGGUAAAACCAUUUAGUACCGUAGCUAACGCGUGAAGUUGACCACCUGGGGAGUACGGCCGCAAGGUUAAAACUCAAAGGAAUUGACGGGGACCCGCACAAGCGGUGGAUGAUGUGAUUAUUCGAUGCAACGCGAAAACCUUACCUACUCUUGACAUGUCCAGAACCCUUGAGAGAUUGAGGGGUGCCCGAAAGGGAACUGAACACA